GUGGGGAAUCUUAGACAAUGGGCGCAAGCCUGAUCUAGCCAUGCCGCGUGGACGAUGAAGGCCUUAGGGUUGUAAAGUCCUUUCGCUGGGGAAGAUAAUGACUGUACCCAGUAAAGAAGCCCCGGCUAACUCCGUGCCAGCAGCCGCGGUAAUACGGAGGGGGCUAGCGUUGUUCGGAAUUACUGGGCGUAAAGCGCGCGUAGGCGGAUUGGAAAGUUGGGGGUGAAAUCCCGGGGCUCAACCUCGGAACUGCCUUCAAAACUCCCAGUCUAGAGUUCGAGAGAGGUGAGUGGAAUUCCGAGUGUAGAGGUGAAAUUCGUAGAUAUUCGGAGGAACACCAGUGGCGAAGGCGGCUCACUGGCUCGAUACUGACGCUGAGGUGCGAAAGCGUGGGGAGCAAACAGGAUUAGAUACCCGAGUAGUCC
This 425-nucleotide ribosomal RNA is filed under the name uncultured bacterium. Its description in RNAcentral is "partial 16S ribosomal RNA". It matches the Rfam family "Bacterial small subunit ribosomal RNA", at positions 354 to 796 of the family's 1533-position model. The record is from RNAcentral.